AUUGUAGCUUUAGCAAGGUUAUAGAAAAUCAUAGGAACAUGAUAUAUUAAAAGUUAAGUCUAUUAUAUUUAUCAAAUGAAUUCUUAGAGAAGUAUCUAUCUUUAUUAUUAUUAUUUUUGGGUAAGGAGAUUAUGUACAUAUGCUCUUAAUUAUAUAAUUCGAAGUUACUAAAUUUCUCUAACUAUAAGAUAGUUGUCAUAAAUUUCUUUCAUUACAAAUUUCGAGGACGAAUUUUUUUUUAAGAGGGGUAGUAAUGUAACACCCCAAAUUUUAUAAACUAGUAUUUUCCUUAUAUUAUUAAUUUUAGUAUUUUUAUAAAAUAAAUUUGAUCAUUUAGUUAUAUUUUUAUAAUAGUUUGUGAAAAUAAUACAUUCAAUGAGUAUACAAUAUCAUGUUAGUCCUAGUUACAUGUCUAAAGCGUGAGAAUGUUUAAAUAAUUAUUUUCUUGAAAAUAAACUUUAGAUAAAGAAAACCUAUAGAUCUAAUCUAUUAAAUUAAUGUAAACUAUGGUUGAAAUUUUAGAACUGAGAGUGUAAAAGUAUACACCGUUAAAAAUAAAUAGUUUAUAAAAAUAUGUCGGAAAUAAAUAGUUUAUUUCCGAAUUAUUUUAUGUGUUUGAUAGUAUAUUUAUCUUGUGUAUGCUGCUAAUUAAUAUUUUCUCUAGACUGUGAAUUUAAGAAAAAUAAUUUUAGAAAUCAAUCAUGAAAUAUUUUAGUAGGCUAUGAUAAAAAUUUGGGAUUAAAAUUCUACCGAAUUUCGGACAGUGGGUAACUCGAUAGUAUAAAUUUAUAUCACUGAAAACGAAAAGAAAAACAUCUUUUAGACCAGAAAAAUAUCUAUGUUAUUAAAAUUAAAUGAAAAAUAAAAUGAAAGAUUAAGAGAUAAGCAUGCAUUUAAUUUUAAGAUAAGAACUACACCUAUGCAUACAAGGUGGCUAAUUUUUCUUCACAAAUUGAAAGUGAAAACGUGGACUGAGAAUUUACCAUGUAGCAGUAGAAUUAGAAAUCUAUAAAUAGGGUCUUAACAUUCACUUUUUACACACAAUUAUCACUCUCACAACUCACACAAAGCUAGGAAAUUCAAUUAAGGUAUCAUAGAAGAAGGUGAUCGUUCAAGUUAUUUUGGAAAGCUCUGAGUUAGUGCAGGAUUCUAAGACCUCAAGUUGAAGUUCAUUGAGAAAAGAAAAAUAGCAUUGUGAGAGACAUUAAAAUAAAGAACGUUAGUGCUGAUUGGUGGUCUGGUUUUAUUUUUUUGAAGUCCGAAGAGAAAGAUCUCUUUGACAUGUAUUGAUGACGUCAUUGGAGUACUCUCUAGGUGACAUGUAUCUUUAGUGUUUGACCAGCUUAUGAUCAUUUGUGGGUUAGAGUCUUUUGUAGGAAUUUAUCUUUUUAUCAUUUUAAAUUGAAAAAUUGUACGAUACUUAUGUGAAAUGGAAAUGUUUUAGAUUU
Long non-coding RNA from Trifolium pratense (red clover), 1448 nucleotides. RefSeq lists it as uncharacterized. Lineage: Eukaryota; Viridiplantae; Streptophyta; Magnoliopsida; Fabales; Fabaceae. The record is from RefSeq and is a predicted model, not a curated record. The transcript is spliced from 3 exons.